CGGAGGAUCCAAGCGUUAUCCGGAAUCAUUGGGUUUAAAGGGUCCGUAGGCGGUUUAGUAAGUCAGUGGUGAAAGCCCAUCGCUCAACGGUGGAACGGCCAUUGAUACUGCUAGACUUGAAUUACUAGGAAGUAACUAGAAUAUGUAGUGUAGCGGUGAAAUGCUUAGGGAUUACAUGGAAUACCAAUUGCGAAGGCAGGUUACUACUAGUGUAUUGACGCUGAUGGACGAAAGCGUGGGUAGCGAACAGGAUUAGAUACCCUGGUAGUCCACGCCGUAAACGAUGGAUACUAGCUGUUGGGAGCAAUUUCAGUGGCUAAGCGAAAGUGAUAAGUAUCCCACCUGGGGAGUACGGGCGCAAGCCUG
RNAcentral lists this ribosomal RNA (366 nucleotides) under uncultured organism. RNAcentral's name for it is "bacterial SSU rRNA". It matches the Rfam family "Bacterial small subunit ribosomal RNA", at positions 526 to 896 of the family's 1533-position model. The record is from RNAcentral.